AGAGUGCAAACCAUCAGUUGGGAAUCACUCUUUAAAACUAAACAGCUUAAAAUGUCCUGGUCAUGGUGUUGAUUCUACAUUGUUUAUAGUAAAUGUGUUUAAAAUAAUUUAUUUUGAUCUUGUAAUGCAUGCAUGCCUCAUUUCGUAUAGUCACAAAGUAAAAGGCUGUGCCUAUUUCCCAUUUUCUUCCCUGUGACAUGAUAUGCACUACUAACAUUCGCACUGUUGGUUCAGCAUGUUGGCACAUGUUUGUUUUUUGCUGAGGUUUUGAGUGACAGCCAGCCAGCUUUCACCCCUCGGUAGGGAUGAGCCCCCUUCCAUGUUUACGCGGCAAAAAACAAAACUGUCCCGAUCGCUCGAGUGCGUCGUUUUCCGGCUUGCCUCCAACCCAUUGUUUUAAGCUGUGAAUGGCAGGGCAGUGACGGGGGGUUGAUUUGCUCAAGAAAGCCCCGUAAAGGGUUAAAGACAUUACUUUGAAUGACAAUGGGCCAACAGUUUACCCCCACAUUCGAACCCUUGUGUAUUCACCAUCUUUUCAAUGGCCCUCAGUUAUUUCACCGCCUCUUAAGCCUCUUCAACUACCUGCUUGGUAUUCUCACAGGGCAGCCUUUGAGUGUGUGUGUGUGUGUGUGUGUGUGUGUGUGUGUGUGUGUGUGUUUGUGUGUGUGUGUGUGUGUGUGUGUGACAGCACGCACGCGCAUGUUUCCUACUUUGCGUGCGAGUGUUUAGCAGCCACUAAAUGUGUUGUUAUGGGUGCAGGCAGCACAAAAGAAGGAUAGAAGGGAAAAAUGACACCCUUUUGAAAGAGCUGCAAUUGCAUGCCAAGUUCAAGAGAAAUGGAGAAAUAUAGAUUUCUCCACUGAGCAGAAAAAAAUGGAACAGAUAAAGACUGGGUGGGUUGACCUCAAUAAACAGACAACAGACGGGAUGGAACUUACUUUGUCUAAAAAUUAACACUAGUAUUAAGUGCUCGCCUAGGCCAGAACGUCAAGUAAUCGUCAAAAGGAAUGGAUUAGACCAUUGGGAAGUUAUUCAUUUGUCAUUCAAGAUGUUAUGUACCCAUCAGUUGAUGUUUGGUAUGGUUUAAAAAGGGUAUUGAUUGCUUCCAUCCUCAUUCUAAAUUUAACCAUGACAAUGAUGACAAGCUAAGUGAACAAAGAGAGAUAACCUUGGCUGUUUAUCACAGGACUAAACUUGGGUUUGAGGGUUUAACACGGCAAAACAUCAAAA
Molecule: long non-coding RNA, 1230 nt
Organism: Carassius carassius (crucian carp)
Lineage: Eukaryota; Metazoa; Chordata; Actinopteri; Cypriniformes; Cyprinidae
Exons: 2
Source: RefSeq, a predicted model, not a curated record